Molecule: ribosomal RNA, 216 nt
Filed under: uncultured bacterium
Lineage: Bacteria
Description: partial 16S ribosomal RNA
Rfam family: Bacterial small subunit ribosomal RNA
Source: RNAcentral
ACGCUCGACACCUACGAGGCAGCAGUGAGGAAUAUUGGUCAAUGGGCGCUAGCCUGAACCAGCCAAGUAGCGUGAAGGAUGAAGGCUCUAUGGGUCGUAAACUUCUUUUAUAUAAGAAUAAAGUGCAGUAUGUAUACUGUUUUGUAUGUAUUAUAUGAAUAAGGAUCGGCUAACUCCGUGCCAGCAGCUGCGUAAUCUGAGGCGGGCUGGCAAGGC